ACCUAGCAAUAGGUUGAUGGCGACCGGCGCACGGGUGAGUAACACGUAUCCAACCUACCGGUUAUUCCGGGAUAGCCUUUCGAAAGAAAGAUUAAUACCGGAUAGUAUACGAGAAGGCAUCUUUUUGUUAUUAAAGAAUUUCGAUAACCGAUGGGGAUGCGUUCCAUUAGGUAGUAGGCGGGGUAACGGCCCACCUAGCCUGCGAUGGAUAGGGGUUCUGAGAGGAAGGUCCCCCACAUUGGAACUGAGACACGGUCCAAACUCCUACGGGAGGCAGCAGUGAGGAAUAUUGGUCAAUGGACGAGAGUCUGAACCAGCCCAAGUAGCGUGCAGGAUGACGGCCCUAUGGGUUGUAAACUGCUUUUUAUAAGGGAAUAAAGUGAGUCUCGUGAGACUUUUUGCAUGUACCUUAUGAAUAAGGACCGGCUAAUUCCGUG
Molecule: ribosomal RNA, 437 nt
Filed under: uncultured bacterium
Lineage: Bacteria
Description: bacterial SSU rRNA
Rfam family: Bacterial small subunit ribosomal RNA
Source: RNAcentral